AGUGAACGCUGGCGGUAGGCCUAACACAUGCAAGUCGAACGGCAGCACAGAGGAGCUUGCUCCUUGGGUGGCGAGUGGCGGACGGGUGAGGAAUACAUCGGAAUCUACUCUGUCGUGGGGGAUAACGUAGGGAAACUUACGCUAAUACCGCAUACGACCUACGGGUGAAAGCAGGGGAUCUUCGGACCUUGCACGAUUGAAUGAGCCGAUGUCGGAUUAGCUAGUUGGCGGGGUAAAGGCCCACCAAGGCGACGAUCCGUAGCUGGUCUGAGAGGAUGAUCAGCCACACUGGAACUGAGAAACGGUCCAGACUCCUACGGGAGGCAGCAGUGGGGAAUAUUGGACAAUGGGCGCAAGCCUGAUCCAGCCAUACCGCGUGGGUGAAGAAGGCCUUCGGGUUGUAAAGCCCUUUUGUUGGGAAAGAAAUCCAUCUGGUUAAUACCCGGGUGGGAUGACGGUACCCAAAGAAUAAGCACCGGCUAACUUCGUGCCAGCCGCCGCGGUAA
Molecule: ribosomal RNA, 506 nt
Filed under: uncultured bacterium
Lineage: Bacteria
Description: partial 16S ribosomal RNA
Rfam family: Bacterial small subunit ribosomal RNA
Source: RNAcentral